CCCACACCAGGAAGUGGGGGAGGAACCCCUCGGUCACUCUGGGAGAGGCAGUUCCGGGAGCCACAACACUUCAAAACCUACAAGUCACAGAUUAAAAUAUGUGCUCUAUGCCUUUCACCAUGAAGGACCCAAAGUAGAUUAUUGAUUUCUUUGUUUCUAUUCAUAUGCUGAUAAAUAAAGCUGAAGAACUUCACAUAACUGUUCCAACUGGCUUUGCUACAACUUUAUAUGAGGCUAAAGUCCAAGUGCACCUGGCCUAAUGGGUUGAAGCUCAAAGGUUGUGUAUUUCAGGGCAUCUGCAUUGUGCAGACUUUGGGGAAUAUUCAUGGUAGACUUAAAAAGGUGGUUGAGCUGUUCCUUAGCAGCAGGAUAUUUUGUGAAUGCCAUGGCUCAUUAUAUCAGGGAGGACCUGGAGGAAGUUGCAAGGAGAAUGAGUCAGAUGAAGUGACUUCAAUGUUUCUAGGAGUUUCUAGAAAUGAUACUUUUUGAUGCUAGCUACACUGAAAUUUGUGACAAGUAUGCAGGACUGGUCUCCUGUCCCUCCUUUGGAACUUUACAUAUAAAUAUACAUAUGUGUGUAUGUAUCUAUAUCUAUAUCUGUGUAUAUGUGUAUAUAUAUAUAUAUAUCUCAAUUCAGUAAUCUUUAUAAGUCAUUCUGAAGUAUCAUCUCUUUUAAGAAUCCUUAUUAAAUCAUUUUUAUGUGAAUGAAUCCCUCUUUUCCCUCUUUUUCUGAAAUCUCUUAACAUUUA
Molecule: long non-coding RNA, 749 nt
Filed under: Monodelphis domestica (gray short-tailed opossum)
Lineage: Eukaryota; Metazoa; Chordata; Mammalia; Didelphimorphia; Didelphidae
Description: lncRNA (ENSMODG00000045186.1)
Source: RNAcentral